AGCGAACGCUGGCGGCAGGCCUAACACAUGCAAGUCGAACGAACUCUUCGGAGUUAGUGGCGGACGGGUGAGUAACACGUGGGAACGUGCCCUUUGGUACGGAAUAACUCAGGGAAACUUGAGCUAAUACCGUAUGUGCCCUUCGGGGGAAAGAUUUAUCGCCAUUGGAGCGGCCCGCGUCUGAUUAGCUAGUUGGUGAGGUAAAGGCUCACCAAGGCUACGAUCAGUAGCUGGUCUGAGAGGAUGAUCAGCCACAUUGGGACUGAGACACGGCCCAAACUCCUACGGGAGGCAGCAGUGGGGAAUCUUGCGCAAUGGGCGAAAGCCUGACGCAGCCAUGCCGCGUGAAUGAUGAAGGUCUUAGGAUUGUAAAAUUCUUUCACCGGGGACGAUAAUGACGGUACCCUGAGAAGAAGCCCCGGCUAACUUCGUG
Molecule: ribosomal RNA, 433 nt
Filed under: uncultured bacterium
Lineage: Bacteria
Description: partial 16S ribosomal RNA
Rfam family: Bacterial small subunit ribosomal RNA
Source: RNAcentral